UAGGGAAUCUUCCGCAAUGGACGCAAGUCUGACGGAGCAACGCCGCGUGAGUGAAGAAGGAUUUCGGUUCGUAAAACUCUGUUGUUAGAGAAGAACAGCGCAUAGAGUAACUGUUAUGCGUGUGACGGUAUCUAACCAGAAAGCCACGGCUAACUACGUGCCAGCAGCCGCGGUAAUACGUAGGUGGCAAGCGUUGUCCGGAUUUAUUGGGCGUAAAGCGAGCGCAGGCGGUCAAUUAAGUCUGAUGUGAAAGCCCCCGGCUCAACCGGGGAGGGUCAUUGGAAACUGGUUGACUUGAGGGCAGAAGAGGAGAGUGGAAUUCCAUGUGUAGCGGUGAAAUGCGUAGAUAUAUGGAGGAACACCAGUGGCGAAGGCGACUCUCUGGUCUGUAACUGACGCGGAGGUUCGAAAGCGUGGGUAGCAAACAGG
This 429-nucleotide ribosomal RNA is filed under the name Bacteroidota bacterium. RNAcentral's name for it is "Bacteroidetes bacterium partial 16S ribosomal RNA". It matches the Rfam family "Bacterial small subunit ribosomal RNA", at positions 355 to 776 of the family's 1533-position model. Lineage: Bacteria; Pseudomonadati; Bacteroidota. The record is from RNAcentral.